UCAGAAGGUUGCUGGUUCGAUCCCCACAGUCACCACCAUUGUGUCCUUGAGUAAGACACUUAACUCCAGGUUGCUCCGGGGGGAUUGUCCCUGUAAUAAGUGCACUGUAUAAUACAUUGGUACUCAGAAGGUUGCUGGUUCGAUCCCCACAGUCACCACCAUUGUGUCCUUGAGUAAGACACUUAACUCCAGGUUGCUCCGGGGGGAUUGUCCCUGUAAUAAGUGCUCUGUAUAAUACAUUGGUACUCAGAAGGUUGCUGGUUCGAUCCCCACAGUCACCACCAUUGUGUCCUUGAGUAAGACACUUAACUCCAGGUUGCUCCGGGGGGAUUGUCCCUGUAAUAAGUGCUCUGUAUAAUACAUUGGUACUCAGAAGGUUGCUGGUUUGAUCCCCACAGUCACCACCAUUGUGUCCUUGAGUAAGGCACUUAACUCCAGGUUGCUCCGGGGGGAUUGUCCCUGUAAUAAGUGCACUGUAUAAUACAUUGGUACUCAGAAGGUUGCUGGUUUGAUCCCCACAGUCACCACCAUUGUGUCCUUGAGUAAGACACUUAACUCCAGGUUGCUCCGGGGGGAUUGUCCCUGUAAUAAGUGCACUGUAUAAUACAUUGGUACUCAGAAGGUUGCUGGUUUGAUCCCCACAGUCACCACCAUUGUGUCCUUGAGUAAGGCACUUAACUCCAGGUUGUUCCGGGGGGAUUGUCCCUGUAAUAAGUGCUCUGUAUAAUACAUUGGUACUCAGAAGGUUGCUGGUUUGAUCCCCACAGUCACCACCAUUGUGUCCUUGAGUAAGACACUUAACUCCAGGUUGUUCCGGGGGGAUUGUCCCUGUAAUAAGUGCUCUGUAUAAUACAUUGGUACUCAGAAGGUUGCUGGUUUGAUCCCCACAGUCACCACCAUUGUGUCCUUGAGUAAGACACUUAACUCCAGGUUGCUCCGGGGGGAUUGUCCCUGUAAUAAGUGCUCUGUAUAAUACAUUGGUAAUCAGAAGG
Xyrauchen texanus (razorback sucker) is the source of this 992-nucleotide long non-coding RNA. RefSeq lists it as uncharacterized. The record is from RefSeq and is a predicted model, not a curated record. Lineage: Eukaryota; Metazoa; Chordata; Actinopteri; Cypriniformes; Catostomidae. The transcript is spliced from 4 exons.